Chrysemys picta bellii (western painted turtle) is the source of this 1312-nucleotide long non-coding RNA. RefSeq lists it as uncharacterized. The record is from RefSeq and is a predicted model, not a curated record. NCBI's taxonomy places the organism in Eukaryota, Metazoa, Chordata, Testudines, Emydidae.
CACAUCUAGAUAUGGAGGAUGUCAGAAUUUCACUUGAUGACCAGGAGAAGGGCUUGGAGAACACGGUUUUCGACUCCAUGGAAGAAGAGGGACUCCCUGAGGGAGCACAGAAUCCACCUCCUGAGAACAACAGAGAGGAGAGGGCCAAACACCCCACCUUCUGGAGGCAAAUAUCUAGAUAAGUUGAUGUACCCGGAAGACCUCUGCACACCCUUAGGGGUAUGCCUACCCCUGGUUGAGAACCACUGAUGUAAAUGCAUACAGACCAGUGUCAGAAAAGAGACACCACCAGCUACAACAGGCAACCCUGACUGACACGCAACUACAAGAAGUUCUAAGUUACAUGAGGGCCAGCUGGCCCAAGUAUCUAAAGAACACUACGGAAGCGAGAAGAGACUGCUUUGCAGUACAUGGACGAUUAAGCGAGUCAAAUGGAUACAUGACUCAAGGCGAUUGUAUUGUAAUUCCAAAUGAAAUGAGAGGAGAAAUCCUAAACCUCACCCAUGAAGGACAUACCAUGUUGCAGUGUAAUCGAGACACUGAAAUGCACUUUUGCUCACUUCCAGAACUACUAAUGACAGACAACAGACCACAAUUCCCUGCAGCAGAAUUUAAGUAUACCUCUACCCCGAUAUAACGCGACCCAAUAUAAGGCGGGUUCGCAUACAAGGCAGUAAAGCUCUGACACGCUGCUUUGAGCAGCGUGUUAAGGGUGCUGGGCCGGGGCUAAGGGGUUGGAUAACGGGCAGAGGGUCUCGGGGGUGGUCACGGGCUCCCCCCCCCCAGGGUCUAGGACGCAGGAGCUGUGGGGGGGCAAUUUGGGGGGCCCCGCAGUCCCAGAGUGGCCCAGGAGAUUAGCAGGGGACCGGGAGCAGCCCGCUCCGCUUCCCUCGUCCCAGCCAUGUCGCUCGGGGGAGGGGACUUGGGGGAAGGGAUCCCCCCCCGCACUCACCAGCAGCGGCGGAAGCGGAGCAGCCCGGCCCCAGCCCACUCCACUCCACCAGCUCCCAGCCGCGGCGAUCCACUUCCUGCCGCAGGUGAGUGCGGGACCUUUCCCCAACACACCCCCCACCAGCCACACGGCUGGAGCCGGGGCAAGGAAAGCGGAGCAGGCUGGGGCCGCGUCACUCUGCUUCCCGCAGCAGGUGAGUGCAGGGGACGUCCUUUCUCCAACCUCCCUGCACUCAUCGGCGGCGGAAGUGGAGUGCCGCGGCUAGGAGGUGGCAGAGUGGAGCGGGCUGGGGCCACAUUGCUCCGCUUCCCGCCGCGCCUGGUGAGUGCCUGUCAGGGGGCAGGGUGUGUGGAUAGGGGU